AUUGAACGCUGGCGGCAUGCUUUACACAUGCAAGUCGAACGGUAACAGGGUGCUUGCACCGCUGACGAGUGGCGAACGGGUGAGUAAUGCGUCGGAACGUGCCGAGUAGUGGGGGAUAACGCAGCGAAAGUUGUGCUAAUACCGCAUACGUACUGAGGUAGAAAGUGGGGGACCUUCGGGCCUCACGCUAUUCGAGCGGCCGACGUCUGAUUAGCUAGUAGGUGAGGUAAAGGCUCACCUAGGCGACGAUCAGUAGCGGGUCUGAGAGGAUGAUCCGCCACACUGGGACUGAGACACGGCCCAGACUCCUACGGGAGGCAGCAGUGGGGAAUUUUGGACAACGGGCGAAAGCCUGAUCCAGCCAUACCGCGUGUCUGAAGAAGGCCUUCGGGUUGUAAAGGACUUUUGUCAGGGAGGAAAUCCCUAGUGCUAAUAACACUGGGGGAUGACAGUACCUGAAGAAUAAGCACCGGCUAACUACGUGCCAGCAGCCGCCGUAA
RNAcentral lists this ribosomal RNA (500 nucleotides) under uncultured bacterium. RNAcentral's name for it is "partial 16S ribosomal RNA". It matches the Rfam family "Bacterial small subunit ribosomal RNA", at positions 30 to 523 of the family's 1533-position model. The record is from RNAcentral.